Molecule: ribosomal RNA, 885 nt
Filed under: Sarocladium strictum
Lineage: Eukaryota; Fungi; Ascomycota; Sordariomycetes; Hypocreales; Sarocladiaceae
Description: eukaryotic LSU rRNA
Rfam family: Eukaryotic large subunit ribosomal RNA
Source: RNAcentral
UCAAUAAGCGGAGGAAAAGAAACCAACAGGGAUUGCCUCAGUAACGGCGAGUGAAGCGGCAACAGCUCAAAUUUGAAAUCUGGCCUCACGGUCCGAGUUGUAAUUUGUAGAGGAUGCUUUUGGCGAGGUGCUUUCCGAGUUCCCUGGAACGGGACGCCAUAGAGGGUGAGAGCCCCGUACGGUAAGACCACCGAGCCUCUGUAAAGCUCCUUCGACGAGUCGAGUAGUUUGGGAAUGCUGCUCUAAAUGGGAGGUGUACGUCUUCUAAAGCUAAAUACCGGCCAGAGACCGAUAGCGCACAAGUAGAGUGAUCGAAAGAUGAAAAGCACUUUGAAAAGAGGGUUAAAAAGUACGUGAAAUUGUUGAAAGGGAAGCAUUCAUGACCAGACUUGGGCUUGGUUGAACAUCCGGCGUUCUCGCCGGUGCACUCUGCCAGUCCAGGCCAGCAUCAGUUUGCCCCGGGGGACAAAGGCGGUGGGAAUGUGGCUCUCUUCGGGGAGUGUUAUAGCCCGCCGUGUAAUGCCCUGGGGCGGACUGAGGAACGCGCUUCGGCACGGAUGCUGGCGUAAUGGUCAUCAAUGACCCGUCUUGAAACACGGACCAAGGAGUCGUCUUCGUAUGCGAGUGUUCGGGUGUCAAACCCCUACGCGUAAUGAAAGUGAACGUAGGUGAGAGCUUCGGCGCAUCACCGACCGAUCCUGAUGUUCUCGGAUGGAUUUGAGUAAGAGCAUACGGGGCCGGACCCGAAAGAAGGUGAACUAUGCCUGUAUAGGGUGAAGCCAGAGGAAACUCUGGUGGAGGCUCGCAGCGGUUCUGACGUGCAAAUCGAUCGUCAAAUAUGGGCAUGGGGGCGAAAGACUAAUCGAACCUUCUAGUAGCUUGGUU